RNAcentral lists this long non-coding RNA (278 nucleotides) under Salvia miltiorrhiza (redroot sage). RNAcentral's name for it is "long non-coding RNA (SMIL_LNC004230)". The record is from RNAcentral. Lineage: Eukaryota; Viridiplantae; Streptophyta; Magnoliopsida; Lamiales; Lamiaceae.
CUGCAUCCAACCACUUGAGCACCUCCUUUCUCACAACUUCUUGCAUCGCCGGAUUCAAACGUCGCUGCGGCUGCACCUUAGGCUUGUAUUCCUGCUCUAAUAAAAUACGAUGCAUGCAAAUAGAAGGACUAAUUCCUUUGAUGUCAGAAAUAGACCAUCCUAUAGCAGACUUGUAUUUCCUCAACACUCGCAUCAACUUCUCCAACUCCAACGGAGAUAAAUAAGCAGACACAAUAACAGGAAACGUUUCAUUCUCACCCAAAAAUUGGUACCUCAAG